RNAcentral lists this ribosomal RNA (253 nucleotides) under uncultured bacterium. RNAcentral's name for it is "partial 16S ribosomal RNA". It matches the Rfam family "Bacterial small subunit ribosomal RNA", at positions 524 to 776 of the family's 1533-position model. The record is from RNAcentral.
UACGUAGGGGGCAAGCGUUGUCCGGAAUCAUUGGGCGUAAAGCGCGCGUAGGCGGCCCUGUAAGUCCGUUGUGAAAGUCAAAGGCUCAACCUUUGAAAGCCGAUGGAUACUGCAGGGCUAGAGUCCGGAAGAGGCGAGUGGAAUUCCUGGUGUAGCGGUGGAAUGCGCAGAUAUCAGGAGGAACACCUAUGGCGAAGGCAGCUCUCUGGGACGGUACUGACGCUGAGACGCGAAAGCGUGGGGAGCGAACAGG